CGGCAACAGCUCAAAUUUGAAAUCUGGCCCUUUCAGGGUCCGAGUUGUAAUUUGUAGAGGGUGCUUCGGCGUUGGCCUGGGUCUAAGUUCCUUGGAACGGGACGUCCUAGAGGGUGAGAACCCCGUACGUGGCCUCCGGUCUUCGCCAUGUGAAGCCCCUUCGAC
RNAcentral lists this ribosomal RNA (165 nucleotides) under Roussoella sp. RNAcentral's name for it is "partial large subunit ribosomal RNA". It matches the Rfam family "Eukaryotic large subunit ribosomal RNA", at positions 99 to 261 of the family's 3401-position model. The record is from RNAcentral. Lineage: Eukaryota; Fungi; Ascomycota; Dothideomycetes; Pleosporales; Thyridariaceae.